This 301-nucleotide ribosomal RNA is filed under the name uncultured bacterium. Its description in RNAcentral is "partial 16S ribosomal RNA". It matches the Rfam family "Bacterial small subunit ribosomal RNA", at positions 509 to 807 of the family's 1533-position model. The record is from RNAcentral.
CAGCCGCCGCGGUAAUACAGAGGAUGCAAGCGUUAUCCGGAAUGAUUGGGCGUAAAGCGUCUGUAGGUGGCUUUUCAAGUCCGCCGUCAAAUCCCAGGGCUCAACCCUGGACAGGCGGUGGAAACUACCAAGCUGGAGUACGGUAGGGGCAGAGGGAAUUUCCAGUGGAGCGGUGAAAUGCGUUGAGAUCGAAAAGAACACCAACAGCGAAAGCACUCUGCUGGGACGACACUGACACUAAGAGACGAAAGCUAGGGGAGCAAAUGGGAUUAGAUACCCCAGUAGUCCCUGUCUCUUAUAC